UUAAGCGACUAAGCGUACACGGUGGAUGCCCUGGCAGUCAGAGGCGAUGAAGGACGUGCUAAUCUGCGAAAAGCGUCGGUAAGGUGAUAUGAACCGUUAUAACCGGCGAUGUCCGAAUGGGGAAACCCAGUGCAAUUCGUUGCACUAUCGUUAACUGAAUACAUAGGUUAACGAGGCGAACCGGGGGAACUGAAACAUCUAAGUACCCCGAGGAAAAGAAAUCAACCGAGAUUCCCCCAGUAGCGGCGAGCGAACGGGGAGCAGCCCAGAGUCUGAAUCAGCUUGUGUGUUAGUGGAACGGUCUGGAAAGUCCGACGGUACAGGGUGAUAGUCCCGUACACCAAAAUGCACAGGUUGUGAACUCGAAGAGUAGGGCGGGACACGUGGUAUCCUGUCUGAAUAUGGGGGGACCAUCCUCCAAGGCUAAAUACUCCUGACUGACCGAUAGUGAACCAGUACCGUGAGGGAAAGGCGAAAAGAACCCCGGCGAGGGGAGUGAAAAAGAACCUGAAACCGUGUACGUACAAGCAGUGGGAGCACCUUCGGGUGUGACUGCGUACCUUUUGUAUAAUGGGUCAGCGACUUAUAUUCUGUAGCAAGGUUAACCGUAUAGGGGAGCCGCAGGGAAACCGAGUCUUAACUGGGCGUUAAGUUGCAGGGUAUAGACCCGAAACCCGGUGAUCUAGCCAUGGGCAGGUUGAAGGUUGGGUAACACUAACUGGAGGACCGAACCGACUAAUGUUGAAAAAUUAGCGGAUGACUUGUGGCUGGGGGUGAAAGGCCAAUCAAACCGGGAGAUAGCUGGUUCUCCCCGAAAGCUAUUUAGGUAGCGCCUCGUGAACUCAUCUUCGGGGGUAGAGCACUGUUUCGGCUAGGGGGUCAUCCCGACUUACCAACCCGAUGCAAACUACGAAUACCGAAGAAUGUUAUCACGGGAGACACACGGCGGGUGCUAACGUCCGUCGUGAAGAGGGAAACAACCCAGACCGCCAGCUAAGGUCCCAAAGUCAUGGUUAAGUGGGAAACGAUGUGGGAAGGCACAGACAGCCAGGAUGUUGGCUUAGAAGCAGCCAUCAUUUAAAGAAAGCGUAAUAGCUCACUGGUCGAGUCGGCCUGCGCGGAAGAUGUAACGGGGCUAAACCAUGCACCGAAGCUGCGGCAGCGACACUAUGUGUUGUUGGGUAGGGGAGCGUUCUGUAAGCCUGCGAAGGUGUGCUGUGAGGCAUGCUGGAGGUAUCAGAAGUGCGAAUGCUGACAUAAGUAACGAUAAAGCGGGUGAAAAGCCCGCUCGCCGGAAGACCAAGGGUUCCUGUCCAACGUUAAUCGGGGCAGGGUGAGUCGACCCCUAAGGCGAGGCCGAAAGGCGUAGUCGAUGGGAAACAGGUUAAUAUUCCUGUACUUGGUGUUACUGCGAAGGGGGGACGGAGAAGGCUAUGUUAGCCGGGCGACGGUUGUCCCGGUUUAAGCAUGUAGGCUGGUUGUCCAGGCAAAUCCGGAUAAUCAAGGCUGAGGUGUGAUGACGAGGCACUACGGUGCUGAAGUAACAAAUGCCCUGCUUCCAGGAAAAGCCUCUAAGCAUCAGGUAACAUUAAAUCGUACCCCAAACCGACACAGGUGGUCAGGUAGAGAAUACCAAGGCGCUUGAGAGAACUCGGGUGAAGGAACUAGGCAAAAUGGUGCCGUAACUUCGGGAGAAGGCACGCUGGUGUGUAGGUGAAGUCCCUGCGGAUGGAGCUGAGACCAGUCGAAGAUACCAGCUGGCUGCAACUGUUUAUUAAAAACACAGCACUGUGCAAACACGAAAGUGGACGUAUACGGUGUGACGCCUGCCCGGUGCCGGAAGGUUAAUUGAUGGGGUUAUCCGUAAGGAGAAGCUCUUGAUCGAAGCCCCGGUAAACGGCGGCCGUAACUAUAACGGUCCUAAGGUAGCGAAAUUCCUUGUCGGGUAAGUUCCGACCUGCACGAAUGGCGUAAUGAUGGCCAGGCUGUCUCCACCCGAGACUCAGUGAAAUUGAACUCGCUGUGAAGAUGCAGUGUACCCGCGGCAAGACGGAAAGACCCCGUGAACCUUUACUAUAGCUUGACACUGAACAUUGAGCCUUGAUGUGUAGGAUAGGUGGGAGGCUUUGAAGCGUGGACGCCAGUCUGCGUGGAGCCAACCUUGAAAUACCACCCUUUAAUGUUUGAUGUUCUAACGUUGGCCCCUUACCGGGGUUGCGGACAGUGUCUGGUGGGUAGUUUGACUGGGGCGGUCUCCUCCCAAAGCGUAACGGAGGAGCACGAAGGUUAGCUAAUCCUGGUCGGACAUCAGGAGGUUAGUGCAAUGGCAUAAGCUAGCUUGACUGCGAGCGUGACGGCGCGAGCAGGUGCGAAAGCAGGUCAUAGUGAUCCGGUGGUUCUGAAUGGAAGGGCCAUCGCUCAACGGAUAAAAGGUACUCCGGGGAUAACAGGCUGAUACCGCCCAAGAGUUCAUAUCGACGGCGGUGUUUGGCACCUCGAUGUCGGCUCAUCACAUCCUGGGGCUGAAGUAGGUCCCAAGGGUAUGGCUGUUCGCCAUUUAAAGUGGUACGCGAGCUGGGUUUAGAACGUCGUGAGACAGUUCGGUCCCUAUCUGCCGUGGGCGCUGGAGAAUUGAGGGGGGCUGCUCCUAGUACGAGAGGACCGGAGUGGACGCAUCACUGGUGUUCGGGUUGUCAUGCCAAUGGCACUGCCCGGUAGCUAAAUGCGGAAGAGAUAAGUGCUGAAAGCAUCUAAGCACGAAACUUGCCCCGAGAUGAGUUCUCCCUGAGACUUUAAGUCUCCUGAAGGAACGUUGAAGACGACGACGUUGAUAGGCCGGGUGUGUAAGCGCAGCGAUGCGUUGAGCUAACCGGUACUAAUGAACCGUGAGGCUUAACCUU
RNAcentral lists this ribosomal RNA (2900 nucleotides) under Klebsiella pneumoniae. RNAcentral's name for it is "bacterial LSU rRNA". It matches the Rfam family "Bacterial large subunit ribosomal RNA". Lineage: Bacteria; Pseudomonadati; Pseudomonadota; Gammaproteobacteria; Enterobacterales; Enterobacteriaceae. RNAcentral also lists the same sequence under 1 other name. The record is from RNAcentral.